CAUUAAGUGGCUGAGCACAAGCAAUGGAAUUUUAAACCAUUUUACAGUAGAAAUUUACUCUUAAUG
This 66-nucleotide transfer RNA is filed under the name Stylosomus rugithorax. RNAcentral describes it as "tRNA-Lys". Lineage: Eukaryota; Metazoa; Arthropoda; Insecta; Coleoptera; Chrysomelidae. The record is from RNAcentral.